CCACUAAGUUUCUUUGCCAUGUCUUUUCUGUAAUUAUUUGAAUUUGCUUUAAAUUUCUUUAUGAAUUUGUUUAUUUGCAUUCACUUGCAUAAUAUUUCCUUGUCUCCUUGCUUAUAUGGGCCAAGCUGCUUAUUUGCUGAAGAACCCUACUUCUUAUUCAAAUAUAUUCUAUGAUUCCGUUCCAGGAAGUCUUUUCUGGCCAGUGUUUGUGAUUGCAACACUUGCUGCUAUGAUUGCUAGCCAAGCAAUGAUAUCUGCUGCAUUUUCAUGCAUAAAACAAUCUAUGGCUUUAGGGUGCUUUCCUAGGCUCAAGAUAAAUCACACCUCAACAAAGUUCCUGUAAUAAACUGGUUUUUUAUGAUCAUGUGGAUACUUAUUGUUUCCAUCUUCCGAAGCACUACCGAUAUUGCAAAUUCAUAUGGCAUAGCUGAAGUUGGAGUCACGAUGAUUAGUACAACCUUAGUGACACUUGUAAUGCUUUUAAUUUGGCAAAAGAACUUAUUUAUGGUAAUUUCAUGCUCACUUAUAUUUGGAUCAGUUGAACUUAUUUACAUGUCAUCUGUUCUAUCAAAACUCUUUCAAGGUGGUUGGCUUCCACUUGCUUUUGCUACCUUUUUCCUCUCAAUUAUGUACACAUGGAACUAUGGAAGUGUCCACUUGCUUCUACUAUAGUUUUUGUUUGCAUUAAAUAUGUUCCUAUCCCUAUGCUUCCACAAGAGGAAAGAUUCAUAUUUCAAAGAGUUUGCGCGAAAGAGUAUCGUAUGUUUCGAUGUGUCGCGUGGUAUGGUUAUAAAGUAGGAAGGAAAGAAGAUCAUCAUGAAUUCGAACAACUUAUUCAAAAUCUAGAGGACUUCUUGAUAAUGGAAGCUCAAGAAAGGGAUGAACUAAUGAUUCUUCCACUGAUGCGCGGCGAAAAUUAUGAAGAAAUUAAUGGAGAUUCUGUAUAUGAGGAACAUAGUCUUGAACUUGAGAUUUCAGCACUUAGAGAAGGAAAAGCAUUUGGAUGCACUUAUUUGCUUGGACAUGGUGAUGUGAGAGCAAAGAAAAAUUGGUGAUAAAUUAUUUCUAUGCAUUUCUUAGAAGGAAUUGUAGAGCAGGUACUGUUAGCAUGAGAGUUCCUCAAACCAAAAUCAUUCAACUUCGUAGAACCUAUAUGGUUUAAAACUAUAUAGCCACAACACUUUCAGUUUUGCAAUUUUAAAACAUUUUUAA
This is a long non-coding RNA of Trifolium pratense (red clover), 1212 nucleotides long. RefSeq lists it as uncharacterized. NCBI's taxonomy places the organism in Eukaryota, Viridiplantae, Streptophyta, Magnoliopsida, Fabales, Fabaceae. The record is from RefSeq and is a predicted model, not a curated record. The transcript is spliced from 3 exons.